AGAGUUUUGAUUCCAUGGCUCAGGAUGAACGCUAGCGGGAGGCCUAACACAUGCAAGCCGAGCGGUAUAAGAUCUUCGGAUCUUAGAGAGCGGCGCACGGGUGCGGAACACGUGUGCAACCUACCUUUAUCAGGGGGAUAGCCUUUCGAAAGGAAGAUUAAUACCCCAUAAUAUAUUGAAUGGCAUCAUUUAAUAUUGAAAACUCCGGUGGAUAGAGAUGGGCACGCGCAAGAUUAGAUAGUUGGUGAGGUAACGGCUCACCAAGUCAAUGAUCUUUAGGGGGCCUGAGAGGGUGAUCCCCCACACUGGUACUGAGACACGGACCAGACUCCUACGGGAGGCAGCAGUGAGGAAUAUUGGACAAUGGGUGAGAGCCUGAUCCAGCCAUCCCGCGUGAAGGACGACGGCCCUAUGGGUUGUAAACUUCUUUUGUAUAGGGAUAAACCUUUCCACGUGUGGAAAGCUGAAGGUACUAUACGAAUAGC
Molecule: ribosomal RNA, 485 nt
Filed under: Flavobacteriaceae bacterium JJ-25
Lineage: Bacteria; Pseudomonadati; Bacteroidota; Flavobacteriia; Flavobacteriales; Flavobacteriaceae
Description: bacterial SSU rRNA
Rfam family: Bacterial small subunit ribosomal RNA
Source: RNAcentral